Long non-coding RNA from Solanum dulcamara, 798 nucleotides. RefSeq lists it as uncharacterized. Lineage: Eukaryota; Viridiplantae; Streptophyta; Magnoliopsida; Solanales; Solanaceae. The record is from RefSeq and is a predicted model, not a curated record. The transcript has 2 exons.
AAAUUGUUUCUUGUUCCUCAAGAAUAAGGGCAAGCAAGUCAUUUUACUAUGUUUAUCAAACCCUACUAUUGCACUACCUUUUUACCAUAUAUAUAUAUAUAUAUAAGGGGAUCACUUGCUUGGGCUUGUGAUUAAUUAUUAUGGAGGAAAGAGAGAGGGUCUUGUAAGUAGGGUUUUGAAGCAACUUUUUCUUGGCAAAGAGUGUAUAAAGAUGGAUCUAGAAUUUGAAGUUAAUUUGUGCUAUUUAUUGAAUUGAUGUGGGUUGGGGUUGUUAGAUCUAUUUCUUUGCAUAAGAAGUAUUAAUUGGGAGAUUUGAUUAAAGUUGAAGACAAAAAGGAUUAAAAGAUCAAGGGAACAUGGGUUUGGAAGAAUUGGAAGGGCUUAUUCUUUUGUGGCAACAAUGGUGAAGAGGGCCUAAGCUGCAAGAAAUGUGUGUCAAAAUUGUCCUUGGCCUAACAGCUAAAAGAACACCCAAGGACAAUAGCAGCAGCAAUACUAACUGCUACUGCUGCUAAAGAACGUACUGCUAUUUCAAUAAACUAUGUAUGUGAGCUGCUCCAAAUCUGUGACAACUUGGUUGAUUGCAUGAAUGACCAUCUUCUUAAUCUGUUCCACCAGAGGACGAAACAAGUCAGUAAGAUAUGGAGACUAGGCUUAAUGUAGCCAGAUUAAAAUAAAGCAUUUUGAUAUGGUACCUCUAGUUUGUCUUCUCUGGCCUUGUGGCCUGUCGGCAAUGUCCUGAACUCAGCUGUGAGGCGGAGGCAUUCUUGAAUGUUUUCAGGAGAAACAAAAUCAGCA